AACCUGCGGAAGGAUCAUUACCGAGUUGAU
RNAcentral lists this ribosomal RNA (30 nucleotides) under Neofusicoccum parvum. RNAcentral's name for it is "partial 18S ribosomal RNA". The record is from RNAcentral. Lineage: Eukaryota; Fungi; Ascomycota; Dothideomycetes; Botryosphaeriales; Botryosphaeriaceae.